AAAGGGAGGCUUGGCCUUCACCAACUGGAAGCUGACUCAAGGCUGUCAAGCUAGAAUCCCAGCUUCCCUGUGUGAUGCACACCCUCCUCUCCACUCACCCACCAGGAUGACAUAGCCCUCUUAACAUCAGUGAGGGGAUUCAAUCCCCUUGAAGGGGAGCAAUCACUGGCUUAUGGGAACAUUUUCCCCAUUUCCUCCAGCACCAGAGUGUGCUGGUGGCUGUGGUAACUUGAGGUCAUUCAGAGACCUGCCUGCUCAGGCUUCUCUGUCCUUCCUGCCCUCUCGCUGUCACUGAGAAUGCCAAGGUAUUUUUGACAUCAGGAGUGAUGCCACAGGGAGUCCAUGCAGAGCCAAAGGACCCUAACCUCAGACCCCCUCUGCUGGAAAGGCUCAGGCUCUCUGGACAGCUGUACAUUCCCAGUGUGGCUCAUGAACCACCUGUGUCAGAUCUGCCAUCAAAUCCCCUGCUUCUGGAUCAAGUUGGCAAGAACUUGCUGCUCCUCACCUGUGAGACCUACCAGAGCCCUCCCAUUUUCCAGAGAGCUUCUCAUGUGUUUUGAAACAGAGUUGUUUAAAACCAGAUGCUGCACUGAGCAGGCUCCUGGCUCUUGGGCACCCUUCUGACCCUUUGGAGCAGGUCCCUCCACUUCACUGUUCUGGAGCCAGGUCCUGCCAGUCCUCUCCUCCUUUACCCGCCUGUUUCCCUGUCCUUCACCCAGGCUUACUGUCCUGGAAUCCUCAGGACAGAAAGAUUGGAGCAGAUCACCUAAGAAGUCCCUUGCUCAGACAGGACCACAUGUAAACCAUCACAUGUCAGAGGGAGACAUUGCUAGUUGGAAAAACAACUAAAGGAAUGUCGACUCUUCAUUCAUUUAGUUCCUCAAGGCGGCUCCUGAUUUAUACUUUGAUUCACAUUCUGUUCAACAAGUCAUCUGAGGCCUACGAACUGCCCAGGAGAAUUAAUCUUCUGGAAGAAAAAUAAAGAGAAAAACAGUUGCUACUCAGUUCCAUAUCCUUGACAUGGAUGUCCUUUUGGAUGAGGCUCACUUCUCAAUAUCCACUUCGGAAAAGGUAGUAGAUGAGAGGAGAAGGAGGAAACCUAAGAUACCUGCACACCCUGGACCACUGCUAAGGUCACAGCAUUUCAUCCUAGAAGCACAGAGAGGUGUUGUGGAUGAAUGUGACCCAUGCCACCCAGCACUGGAGCUAGUCAAGUAAUGAAAAAGAAGCAGGGAUUAAAAUGAAUGAAGCCAAAACCAAGAACAUUUUUUUUAAUGGAAAAAUGCUCUCAACUCUUACCGCUCAGUAUGAAAAACCAGCUUUUCUAGAUUUGACUGUAAUCAUUAAAAUGCACAAGACACUACCAAUAAUGAGUUGUGAAGCUGAAAGAAACUUUACUAUCAAUAGUCCGAAAAUUUUUUCAAAUACGAUUAAGCCAGGUAUGGUGGUGCAUAUAAUCCCAGCACUAUG
This is a long non-coding RNA of Fukomys damarensis (Damara mole-rat), 1470 nucleotides long. RefSeq lists it as uncharacterized. Lineage: Eukaryota; Metazoa; Chordata; Mammalia; Rodentia; Bathyergidae. The record is from RefSeq and is a predicted model, not a curated record. The transcript is spliced from 6 exons.